Molecule: RNA transcript, 3004 nt
Organism: Carya illinoinensis
Lineage: Eukaryota; Viridiplantae; Streptophyta; Magnoliopsida; Fagales; Juglandaceae
Gene name: chloroplastic group IIA intron splicing facilitator CRS1, chloroplastic
Exons: 9
Source: RefSeq, a predicted model, not a curated record
GACGACGGCUGUACUUCUGCCGACGAUUGAAUAGGAUCUCUGCUGCUCCUAAUCCAAACAGAGUUGGAAACUGAAGAAAGCGAGCCCAAAAUCUCCAUCAGUUGCGCGAACGCUCCACCGCCACUCACUCACCCACCCAUGCCGGCAACUCUCUUUCGUUUCCCCUCCCACUCGUACCUCACCAUCUCAUUCUCAUUAAACCCGAAACCUCCCCAAAUCCCCAAACACACUCCCUCCUCCAACCCCACAAUCGCCAACAACCCAGACUGCUCUCUCUCUUUGAAGCAACCUCUUUCGCAAUCCGAUGCCGCUGUUAAGAUGCCCACAGCUCCGUGGAUGAAUGGCCCCCUUCUUCUCCCACCCCAUGAGGUUCUUGACCUCUCCAAACGCAACAGCAAAAAGAACUUAAACAAUGCCAGAGUCGAAAAGUCCGAUAAAGCGCUGACUGAGAAAGUUGGCGUGAGAGGUGAAAGAGCGGUGAACAAGAUCGUCAGGAGCAUCGAAAAGCUUCGAAUGAACGACGAUUCAGAUGAAACCCAGAAGGAUUCAGGUAAAUCUGGAUUUGGGGAUUGCUUAGAACAACUUGGGGAAGAUGACGGGUCGAGAUACGGAAGGAAAAUGCCUUGGGAGAGGGACGUGGGGUUCGCUCUUCGGAGAAUGAAGAAGGAAAAAGCAGUGACUGAGGCGGAAUUGAGGCUUGACAAGGCGUUGCUUGAGAGGCUGAGGGAUGAGGCCGCUAAGAUGAGGCGAUGGGUGAAGGUUAAGAAAGCCGGGGUGACUCAGGGUGUAGUUGAUGAUAUUAGAACGAUUUGGAGGAGGAAUGAGCUUGCCAUGUUGAAAUUUGAUAUCCCUUUGUGCAAGAAUUUGGAUAGAGCUCGAGAAAUCGUCGAGAUCAAGACUGGAGGCUUGGUUGUUUGGAGUAAAAAAGAUACUCUUGUUGUCUAUCGAGGGUGCAGUUAUCAGCUGACUUCAAAGAACAUUUUAAAGACACGUGCUAGGCUUGCUGGCAGUCAAGCAGCACCUUAUUAUGAAACUAGUCUGCCGAAGUGGGAAAGAAACUAUGAAAUUUCUCUAACUCACUCCAAUGAAAAUGGUGUAGAUGAAAAGAUGCGUAGAAGUGAAAGUGAGGGGGCAAAUUUGCCGCCAGGAAUCUCUUCAAAACGGGAUUUGAAUCACCAACCAGUGAGUGGAUCACUUUAUGUGAGAGAAACAGAGAGAUUAUUAGAUGGCUUGGGACCUCGUUUCCUUGAUUGGUGGAUGGACAAGCCUUUGCCCGUAGAUGCAGAUUUACUUCCUGAAGUGGUUCCUGGAUAUAGGCCUCCAUUUAGACUUUGUCCACCUCGUGCCAGAGCAAAGCUGACAAAUGACGAAUUGACGUACUUGAGGAAGCUUGCUCACCCUUUACCUACUCAUUUUGUUCUUGGGAAAAACCGAAAACUUCAAGGCUUAUCUGCAUCCAUCUUAAAACUGUGGGAGAAAAGUCUUAUUGUGAAGAUUUCUCUAAAGUGGGGAGUCCCGAUUAUGAACAAUGAGGAAGUGGCAUUGGAACUCAAGCAUCUUACAGGCGGAGUUCUUUUGCUGCGUAAUAAGUUUCUAAUAAUACUUUAUAGAGGCAAGGAUUUCCUUCCCUGUAGAGUUGCAAAUUUAAUAGCCGAAAGAGAAACUGAGCUAAAAAAAUACCAACUUUAUGAAGAAGGUGCACGGGUGAAAGCAAUUGAAGCUGUCUGUAUGGAUAAUGGAUCAAUAGAAAACACUAGCUCAUCCGGCACUUUAUCAGAAUCCAAGUAUAUCCAAACUGAGUUCAGUGACCUGGAAAAAGGAAAUACAGAGGUUGAUAUCAAAUUGGAAGCCGAAAAACAAAGAUUGGAGAGGGAACUAAGAGAGCAAGAGCAAAAACUUUUCAUUCUAAACAUAAAGAUAGAUAAGUCAAUGAAGGAAUUGUCAAAGUUGACUGGUGGAUGGGCACCUACUGAGAUGGAUGCUGACCGAGAAAUGAUAACUGCGGAGGAGAGAGAAUGUUACCAGAAGAUAGGACUCAAGAUGGAUAGAUGUUUAGAGCUGGGCAGGCGUGGGGUCUUUGAUGGUGUAAUAGAGGGCCUGCAUCAGCACUGGAAGUACAGAGAAGUAGUCAAGGUGAUCACAAAGCAGAGAUUGUUUCAUCAAGUCGUUUAUACUGCUAAAUUCCUGGAAGCAGAAAGCGGAGGAGUUCUAGUUUCAGUAAAAAAGCUAAAAGAAGGUCAUGCUAUAAUUCUUUACCGUGGGAAGAACUACAGAAGGCCCCUAAAACGGGUGCCCGAGAAUCUUCUAACUAAGAGAGAAGCAUUACAUAAAUCCCUUGAGAUGCAGAGAAUCGGGUCGUUGAAGUUUUUUGCUUAUCAAAGACAGCAGGCAAUCAUGGAUUUGAAAUGCAAAUUGGAAGAUCUGUAGCAAAGCAAGUCUAUUUAUCAAAGCGACUGAAGUUUAGCAUGCCAUGGUUCCUCUUACACGUUCAGUUUAUUUGAGGAAUGAAGGAUGUAAAUAUCGCAUGCAAGGGGAAUUCUGCAUCUGCUGGGCUUCAUUAGUUUGCAAAUGUAAGGGUGGCUUAAACAUGCUGGCGUGCAGGAAACUAGAAGAGAAACGAUGGGUAGUAGAUCAGACAAUCAAAUAAGUCAUUCAAAGUUCUCCAUCCCAUCUCCUUCCAAUGUCGCGUGAGGGAUUGCAUUCCUCAUAUAAAACUUCUACUAAAUUUUCAGUGUGAUGGUAGAGCCUCAGCACUGUCGUUGAAAGGACUUGCAGAGGGGAAAAGGCUUGUGUGGAACUAGAGUAACUUCAUGACUCCAGAGUCUCUGUAAUAUAUCGACCAUCUUAUUCAUGAAAGACCAGUUUGCCAGAUUUUGGGACUGAUGGUUUGGUCUGAGAGAACUUCGGCCCAAAUCCUGUAAACCCCGAUAAUUUUCUAGGAAUUAUUUACCUGAAUGUUUACAGCAAUUAUUUAUCAUACCAGUAUGGAAGUAUAAUUUGUUUU